This 400-nucleotide ribosomal RNA is filed under the name Pseudopedinella sp. RNAcentral describes it as "partial small subunit ribosomal RNA". It matches the Rfam family "Eukaryotic small subunit ribosomal RNA", at positions 582 to 975 of the family's 1831-position model. Lineage: Eukaryota; Dictyochophyceae; Pedinellales. The record is from RNAcentral.
AUUCCAGCUCCAAUAGCGUAUAUUAAUGUUGUUGCAGUUAAAAAGCUCGUAGUUGGAUUUCUGGAUUGAGCGGCUGGCCUUGCGCGCAAGCGUUCGUGUCGGCUUCGUUUCGGUCCAUCCUCAGGGGGACUUGCGCUGGCAUUAACGUGUCGGUGUUGGGACGCCUGUCGUUUACUGUGAACAAAUUAGAGUGUUCAAAGCAAGGUGUACUUGAAUACAUUAGCAUGGAAUAAUAAGAUAGGACUUUGGUGGUUCUUUUUGAUAUUUUGUUGGUUUGCACGCCAAAGUAAUGAUUAAUAGGAGCAGUUGGGGGUAUUCGUAUUCAAUUGUCAGAGGUGAAAUUCUUGGAUUUAUAGAAGACGAACUACUGCGAAAGCAUUUACCAAGGAUGUUUUCAUUG